RNAcentral lists this ribosomal RNA (253 nucleotides) under uncultured bacterium. Its description in RNAcentral is "partial 16S ribosomal RNA". It matches the Rfam family "Bacterial small subunit ribosomal RNA", at positions 524 to 776 of the family's 1533-position model. The record is from RNAcentral.
UACGGGGGGGGCAAGCGUUGUUCGGAAUUACUGGGCGUAAAGGGCUCGUAGGCGGCCAACUAAGUCAGACGUGAAAUCCCUCGGCUUAACCGGGGAACUGCAUCUGAUACUGGAUGGCUUGAGAUUGGGAGAGGGAUGCGGAAUUCCAGGUGUAGCGGUGAAAUGCGUAGAUAUCUGGAGGAACACCGGUGGCGAAGGCGGCGUCCUGGACCAACACUGACGCUGAGGAGCGAAAGCCAGGGGAGCAAACGGG